UACAGAGGGUGCGAGCGUUAAUCGGAAUUACUGGGCGUAAAGGGUGCGUAGGUGGUUCAAUCAGUCAGGCGUGAAAUCCCCAAGCUCAACUUGGGAAUUGCGUUUGAUACUGUUGAACUAGAGUAUGGUAGAGGGAAGUGGAAUUUCAGGUGUAGCGGUGAAAUGCGUAGAUAUCUGAAGGAACAUCAGUGGCGAAGGCGGCUUCCUGGACUAAUACUGACACUGAGGCACGAAAGCGUGGGGAGCAAACAGG
Molecule: ribosomal RNA, 253 nt
Filed under: uncultured bacterium
Lineage: Bacteria
Description: partial 16S ribosomal RNA
Rfam family: Bacterial small subunit ribosomal RNA
Source: RNAcentral